Molecule: ribosomal RNA, 430 nt
Filed under: uncultured bacterium
Lineage: Bacteria
Description: partial 16S ribosomal RNA
Rfam family: Bacterial small subunit ribosomal RNA
Source: RNAcentral
AACGAACGCUGGCGGCAGGCUUAACACAUGCAAGUCGAACGCCCCGCCAGGGGAGUGGCAGACGGGUGAGUAACGCGUGGGAACAUACCCUUUUCUACGGAAUAGCUCUGGGAAACUGGAAUUAAUACCGUAUACGCCCUACGGGGGAAAGAUUUAUCGGGGAAGGAUUGGCCCGCGUUGGAUUAGCUAGUUGGUGGGGUAAAGGCCUACCAAGGCGACGAUCCAUAGCUGGUCUGAGAGGAUGAUCAGCCACAUUGGGACUGAGACACGGCCCAAACUCCUACGGGAGGCAGCAGUGGGGAAUAAUGGACAAUGGGCGCAAGCCUGAUCCAGCCAUGCCGCGGGAGUGAUGAAGGCCUUAGGGUUGUAAAGCUCUUUCACCGAUGAAGAUAAGGACGGUAGUCGGAGAAGAAGCCCCGGCUAACUUCGU